RNAcentral lists this ribosomal RNA (497 nucleotides) under uncultured bacterium. RNAcentral's name for it is "partial 16S ribosomal RNA". It matches the Rfam family "Bacterial small subunit ribosomal RNA", at positions 28 to 507 of the family's 1533-position model. The record is from RNAcentral.
GAUGAACGCUGGCGGCGUGCCUAAUACAUGCGAGUCGAGCGAACAGACGAGGCGCUUGCUCCUCUGACGUUAGCGGCGGACGGGUGAGUAACACGUGGAUAACCUACCUAUCAGACUGAGAUAACUUCGGGAAACCGGCGCUAAUACCGGAUAAUCUAUUGCACCGCAUGGUUCAAUAGUGAAAGACGGCUUUGCUGUCACUUAUAGAUGGAUCCGCGCCGCAUUAGCUAGUUGGUAAGGUAACGGCUUACCAAGGCAACGAUGCGUAGCCGACCUGAGAGGGUGAUCGGCCACACUGGAACUGAGACACGGUCCAGACUCCUACGGGAGGCAGCAGUAGGGAAUCGUCCGCAAUGGGCGAAAGCCUGACGGAGCAACGCCGCGUGAGUGAUGAAGGUCUUCGGAUCGUAAAACUCUGUUAUUAGGGAAGAACAAAUGUGUAAGUAACUAUGCACGUCUUGACGGUACCUAAUCAGAAAGCCACGGCUAACUACGUG